GGGCAAUUGGCACAGUGGUAGCGCGCACGCUUCGCAUAUAAUUGUAGUAUAUUCCUUGCGUGAGGUCCAGGGUUCAAUCCCCUGAUUGUCCA
Non-coding RNA from Pleurotus ostreatoroseus, 92 nucleotides. Lineage: Eukaryota; Fungi; Basidiomycota; Agaricomycetes; Agaricales; Pleurotaceae. The record is from the annotation of a GenBank genome assembly.